Molecule: ribosomal RNA, 253 nt
Filed under: uncultured bacterium
Lineage: Bacteria
Description: partial 16S ribosomal RNA
Rfam family: Bacterial small subunit ribosomal RNA
Source: RNAcentral
GACGUAGGGUGCCAGCGUUGUUCGGAAUUACUGGGUGUAAAGGGUUCGUAGGCGGUGCGGCAAGUCGGGAGUGAAAUCUCUGGGCUUAACCCAGAGGCUGCUUCCGAAACUGCUGUGCUUGAGUGUGGGAGAGGCGCGUGGAAUUGCAGGUGUAGCGGUGAAAUGCGUAGAUAUCUGCAGGAACACCCGUGGCGAAGGCGGCUCACUGGUCCAUUACUGACGCUGAGGUGCGAAAGCGUGGGGAGCAAACAGG